UUUUUUUUUUUUUUUUUUUUUUUUUCGGAUUGAGAGAUCGGGAGAGGGAGAUUGAGAGAUCGGGAGCGGGAGAUCAAAGAGGUCGAGGGAGAUCGAGGGAGAGGGAGAAGUUUCUGGUGGGUCGGCCGCCGCUGCAGAGGACGCCGACGCCGGCGAGUCACGGUUGAUGCCGGCGACGCCAGAGAGGGGUUUUUUCGGCGUUUUCCCGGAACCCAAACAGUGGGUUUCCGAUUUUUGGGCAAAUAGCUUCUCAGAUUUUUAACAGCAAGAAAACAUCCAGCAAAUGAGCUCCCUUCUUCUCUCAUCAAGCCAUUGCAGAUUGAAAGAGUUGGUGUACAAGUUCAUUGAGCCGCUGCUUAGAGACCUCUAUCUUCAUCGCACUUCUACCGACUUCGACUAUGUUCUUGGUUGUGCGUGGUUACGGAUUGGGCGAUUAGGCUUUCAUCUCUUGCUUAGCUGUGAUGAUUUGGAUCCUGCCAUGAAAUUCUAUUGGAAGUCUUGACAGUCAGUAGAAAAGAUAACAUCGCUUAAGCUUGAGAUGCAGGUACGACAAGAAUGCAACUAUCUAGCAGGAUGGUUUUCUACAAGAGAAGCUGAUGAUAGAAGAGCACAUGCAUUAGAAAAUCUUCAAGUAGAGCUUAGAACGGCACAAAGAAAGGGUCAGCGAUGCUAAAGCAACUUCAUGCUCAUAAGACACAGAAUCGACUGGAAAGGGGUCUGGUUGAAGGAGAGGAAAAUUUGUGAAACUUGUACUUGUUUGGCUUUGUGAUCCACCACACCUUGCACUGCAUUAGUUGGUAUUAGAGCCUACGUUUCUUUCCUGCUAUGACGCAAAGAGGCAACAUGUGAGGACCAACUGAUGGCAUGUUUGCAACGCAUGGAAGAACAGUUUGAUCUGUUUGAGAUAAUGGGCACACAAAUUGGAGCAUUAAUUGAGCAAUUUGCUAUCAAGGGUGAUCCUAAUAGACGUCGUUGUUAGCCAAAUUCGCAUUUCUUAGGAUUGGGGUGUAAUUUAUGUGGUAUCAGACCAAAUGUUAGUUAAAUUAUAUUUAUAUUCUCGAAAAGCCAGAGAGCAUAUCUACAUCA
Alnus glutinosa is the source of this 1086-nucleotide long non-coding RNA. RefSeq lists it as uncharacterized. The record is from RefSeq and is a predicted model, not a curated record. The transcript has 6 exons. NCBI's taxonomy places the organism in Eukaryota, Viridiplantae, Streptophyta, Magnoliopsida, Fagales, Betulaceae.